This is a non-coding RNA of Podarcis lilfordi (Lilford's wall lizard), 66 nucleotides long. NCBI's taxonomy places the organism in Eukaryota, Metazoa, Chordata, Lepidosauria, Squamata, Lacertidae. The record is from the annotation of a GenBank genome assembly.
GACAGCUCAGUUGGUAGAGCAUGACUCUUAAUCUCAGGGUUUUGGGUUUGAGCCCCACGUUGGGCA